AUACGAAGGGUGCAAGCGUUACUCGGAAUUACUGGGCGUAAAGCGUGCGUAGGUGGUUGUUUAAGUCUGUCGUGAAAGCCCUGGGCUCCACCUGGGAAUGGCGAUGGAAACUGGGCGACUAGAGUGUGGCAGAGGGUAGUGGAAUUCCUGGUGUAGCAGUGAAAUGCGUAGAGAUCAGGAGGAACAUCCGUGGCGAAGGCGACUGCCUGGGCCAACACUGACACUGAGGCACGAAAGCGUGGGGAGCAAACAGGAUUAGAUACCCUGGUAGUCCACGCCCUAAACGAUGCGAACUGGAUGUUGGGUGCAAUUUGGCACGCAGUAUCGAAGCUAACGCGUUAAGUUCGCCGCCUGGGGAGUACGGUCGCAAGACUGAAACUCAAAGGAAUUGACGGGG
RNAcentral lists this ribosomal RNA (397 nucleotides) under uncultured bacterium. RNAcentral describes it as "partial 16S ribosomal RNA". It matches the Rfam family "Bacterial small subunit ribosomal RNA", at positions 523 to 918 of the family's 1533-position model. The record is from RNAcentral.